RNAcentral lists this ribosomal RNA (443 nucleotides) under uncultured bacterium. RNAcentral describes it as "partial 16S ribosomal RNA". It matches the Rfam family "Bacterial small subunit ribosomal RNA", at positions 338 to 795 of the family's 1533-position model. The record is from RNAcentral.
CCUACGGGCGGCAGCAGUGGGGAAUAUUGGGCAAUGGGCGCAAGCCUGACCCAGCAAAGCCGCGUGAAGGAAGAAGGCUUUCUGGUUGUAAACUUCUUUUCUUAGGGACGAAGAACGUGACGGUCGCUCAGGCAUAAGCCACGGCUACCUACGUGCCAGCAGCCGCGGUAAUACGUAGGUCGCAAGCGUUAUCCGGAUUUAUUGGGUGUAAAGGGCGGGUAGGCGGGAAAGCAAGUCAGAUGUGAAAACUCAGGGCUCAACCCUGAGCCUGCAGUUGAAACUGUUGUUCUUGAGUGGUGGAGAGGCAAGCGGAAUGCCGGGUGUAGCGGUGAAAUGCGUAGAUAUACGGAGGAACACCAGUGGCGAAGGCGGAUUGCUGGACAGUAACUGACGCUGAGGCGCGAAAGCGUGGGGAGCAAACAGGAUUAGAUACCCGUGUAGUC